UACGUAGGGACCAAGCGUUGUUCGGAUUUACUGGGCGUAAAGGGCGCGUAGGCGGCGCGGUAAGUCACUUGUGAAAUCUCUGAGCUUAACUCAGAACGGCCAAGUGAUACUGCAGUGCUAGAGUGUGGAAGGGGCAAUCGGAGUUCUUGGUGUAGCGGUGAAAUGCGUAGAUAUCAAGAGGAACACCUGAGGUGAAGACGGGUUGCUGGGCCAACACUGACGCUGAGGCGCGAAAGCCAGGGGAGCAAACGGG
RNAcentral lists this ribosomal RNA (253 nucleotides) under uncultured bacterium. Its description in RNAcentral is "partial 16S ribosomal RNA". It matches the Rfam family "Bacterial small subunit ribosomal RNA", at positions 524 to 776 of the family's 1533-position model. The record is from RNAcentral.